CGCCUUCCUCCUGUGACAUCAUAGUGGCAGGGCAUGGGGCUUGCUCUCCGGGUUCUUUGGUCUGAUGGGAGGGACACCUCUCAAACCUCUGCGGACCUCAGUUCCUCCCCCUGGCCUUUUCCCUCCUAGGUGUAGGCCCCUUCCCAGCAGAGUUCUCCUCCACCAACCCCCCAGAUCAAAGAUUCCGAGACUGUUUGCUGAUGGUUCAAUUUUUCCCCCAACAUUUUGCUUCCAGUAUUUGUGUUUCUACGUAUAAGCGGUGUGGGGAAGAGACAGGAAGACUCAUGGGGUUAUUCUGAUCAUGGCGGUACAGGAAGGGAUGGCUGGAUAGUAGACUACAUCCACAUCUUCGGGCAAGGACAAAGAUACCUCAACAGGAGAAAUUGGGCAGGGACAGGGCAUUCUCUCCAGCAGGUGACUGGGCAUGACCACUACAAUGCUGAUCUGAAACCGAUCGAUGGGUUCAAUGGAAGGUUUGGCUACCGCAGGAACACUCCAGCCCUCCGUCAGAGCACGUCCGUCUUCGGAGAGGUCACCCACUUCCCUCUGUUCUAACAGCAUCUUUUCCCUUCAUAGCCAUCGACCUGAAUUUCUAAGACAAAUGUUUAGAUGAACUCUUAGUGUUAUUUUACGUUAAAAAAAUUAAUUUGUGUCUC
This 656-nucleotide long non-coding RNA is filed under the name Homo sapiens (human). RNAcentral's name for it is "HSALNT0240233". The record is from RNAcentral. Lineage: Eukaryota; Metazoa; Chordata; Mammalia; Primates; Hominidae.